This 392-nucleotide ribosomal RNA is filed under the name [Candida] sp. EJ3M02. Its description in RNAcentral is "eukaryotic LSU rRNA". The stretch from base 89 to 236 matches the Rfam family "5.8S ribosomal RNA". Lineage: Eukaryota; Fungi; Ascomycota; Saccharomycetes; Saccharomycetales. The record is from RNAcentral.
CCUGUGAAUACAGAAAUUGCUUGGUUGCUUUUUGCAACCGCUUUUAAACUACAUUUUAUUAUUAUGUCUGAACAAACAAGAAAUUCAAAACUAACAAUAACGGAUCUCUUGGUUCUCGCAUCGAUGAAGACCGCAGCAAAGCGCGAAAGAUAAUGUGAAUUGCAGACGUGAAUCAUUGAGUUGUUGAACGCACAUUGCGCUUUCUUUUACGAGAAAGCAUACCUGUGCGAGCGUCAUUUCUCUCUCCACACCUAGUGGGUAUUGGCACUCUACAUAGUGCUGAAAAAGAUCAUGCGUAUAUGUUAACCACAAUGUGCGCUUUAAAUCUAAAUUAUUGACCUCGUAUCAGGUAAGAGUACCCACUGAACUUAAGCAUAUCAAUAAGCGGAGGA